This 300-nucleotide ribosomal RNA is filed under the name uncultured Paracoccaceae bacterium. Its description in RNAcentral is "bacterial SSU rRNA". It matches the Rfam family "Bacterial small subunit ribosomal RNA", at positions 114 to 430 of the family's 1533-position model. Lineage: Bacteria; Pseudomonadati; Pseudomonadota; Alphaproteobacteria; Rhodobacterales; Paracoccaceae. The record is from RNAcentral.
CGCGUGGGAAUGUACCCUUUUCUAAGGAAUAGCCUCGGGAAACUGAGAGUAAUACCUUAUACGCCCUCGGGAAGGAUUAUCGGAGAAGGAUCAGCCCGCGUUAGAUUAGAUAGUUGGUGGGGUAAGUGGCCUACCAAGUCUACGAUCUAUAGCUGGUUUUAGUAGGAUGAUCAGCAACACUGGGACGUGAGACACGGCCCACGACUCCUACGGGAGGCAGCAGUGGGGAAGUCUUGGACAAUGGGCGCAAGCCUGAUCCAGCCAUGCCGCGUGAGUGAUGAAGGCCUUAGGGUCGUAAAG